This 460-nucleotide ribosomal RNA is filed under the name uncultured bacterium. RNAcentral describes it as "partial 16S ribosomal RNA". It matches the Rfam family "Bacterial small subunit ribosomal RNA", at positions 338 to 795 of the family's 1533-position model. The record is from RNAcentral.
CCUACGGGUGGCAGCAGUGAGGAAUAUUGGUCAAUGGGCGCGAGCCUGAACCAGCCAGGUAGCGUGAAGGAUGACGGCCCUAAGGGUUGUAAACUUCUUUUAUAAAGGAAUAAAGUGAGGCACGUGUGCCUUUUUGUAUGUACUUUAUGAAUAAGGAUCGGCUAACUCCGUGCCAGCAGCCGCGGUAAUACGGAGGAUCCGAGCGUUAUCCGGAUUUAUUGGGUUUAAAGGGAGCGUAGGUGGGGUGUUAAGUCAGUUGUGAAAGUUUGCGGCUCAACCGUAAAAUUGCAAUUGAUACUGGCAGCCUUGAGUACAGUAGAGGUAUGCGGAAUUCGUGGUGUAGCGGUGAAAUGCUUAGAUAUCACGAAGAACUCCGAUUGCGAAGGCAGCCUACUAAACGGCCACUGACGUUGAUGCUCGAAAGUGUGGGUAUCAAACAGGAUUAGAUACCCGAGUAGUC